UACGUAGGGUGCGAGCGUUGUCCGGAAUUACUGGGCGUAAAGAGCUCGUAGGUGGUUUGUCACGUCGUCUGUGAAAUUCCGGGGCUUAACCUCGGGCGUGCAGGCGAUACGGGCAGGCUAGAGUUCGGUAGGGGAGAUCGGAACUCCUGGUGUAGCGGUGAAAUGCGCAGAUAUCAGGAGGAACACCGAUGGCGAAGGCAGGUCUCUGGGCCACUACUGACGCUGAGAAGCGAAAGCAUGGGGAGCGAACAGGAUUAGAUACCCU
RNAcentral lists this ribosomal RNA (265 nucleotides) under uncultured prokaryote. RNAcentral's name for it is "partial 16S ribosomal RNA". It matches the Rfam family "Bacterial small subunit ribosomal RNA", at positions 524 to 788 of the family's 1533-position model. The record is from RNAcentral.